This 34-nucleotide ribosomal RNA is filed under the name Aspergillus aculeatus. RNAcentral's name for it is "partial 18S ribosomal RNA". RNAcentral also lists the same sequence under 9 other names. The record is from RNAcentral. Lineage: Eukaryota; Fungi; Ascomycota; Eurotiomycetes; Eurotiales; Aspergillaceae.
UCCUUCCGUAGGUGAACCUGCGGAAGGAUCAUUA